Molecule: long non-coding RNA, 1030 nt
Organism: Portunus trituberculatus (swimming crab)
Lineage: Eukaryota; Metazoa; Arthropoda; Malacostraca; Decapoda; Portunidae
Exons: 2
Source: RefSeq, a predicted model, not a curated record
UUUGUUGUUCCACUUAUAUCUGCUCAUUUAUUCUACGUUGUGUUCACAUCUGCCUGAUUGUUGGAGAAACACGCCAUUCUGUUUUUUUAUAUAUAUAUUUAUAUAUAGCAGAGGAACGUAUUGCCGGCGUCAUGGUGAACCCCAUCGUGUAUAUGGACGGGGAUCAGAUCAUGCGGAUGGUGCUGAGUGCCGUGCCUUAUUUCCUGCUAUGCAUGGUCUUUUGGGUGUUCAUCCGCCUAGCGUGGAGAUGCUUCACCUACCCUAUGGAGCAGAGAAACAUCAUUCGUAAAGAAAAGCAAGAGGAAGAAAAGAAAAAAAAGAAAUAAAUGUAAUGCACUGUAAUUCUUCUGUGAAAGGCAAUAGGUAAAGAGAUAGCUACAAGAGAUCAAUAAUAAUAAUAAUAAAAAUAAUAAUAAUAAUAAUAAUAAUAUUACUAAUUAUAAUAUCUUUAUUUUAAUUAAUGUAAAAGCCACAAAAUACCCCUUUCCUUCUGUUAGAUCACAUAUUAUGGAACCAGUUAGUAUAGUACAAAAUAAACUAACAUUGCUUUUUUUUGUUCAUGUCAGUUCCUAGUUCUCUCUCUUUCUCUCUGCAAACUUUAUUGAACUAUAUUCAUGAAUAAUCACAUAUGAAGAGUUCACUGGUAGUACAGAAAAAUGUAUUGGCAUUCCCUUUGUGUUGUGGUGAGGCUGCCAGCAUUGUAUGCUGCAUUGUUAUUGCAUGAAGGACUGUGGCCUGAGCUUAAGCCUCACCAAGUAUUGAGCUUAAUGGGAGAAGACAGUGGGUCUCUACCUUCUAUUGAAUAAUAUAGUGCCAUUAUGGUUGUCAUAUUAUGAUGACAUCUUACACUCAUAGGAUUAAGCACUUGCGUAGAACCAUUACUAGUUGCCAUUAAAUAUAAUUGAGAGGAUAAUGGGGUGCUCUCAUGUUGUACUGUUGUCACAGGUAUGUAGGCAUACCUACACUAUCUAUGUAACAUUUUUGAAUUGCCAGUUUGGGAGAUAAAACUGAAAUAAACAACUUUUGUAAA